This 478-nucleotide ribosomal RNA is filed under the name Salinimicrobium sediminis. RNAcentral describes it as "bacterial SSU rRNA". It matches the Rfam family "Bacterial small subunit ribosomal RNA", at positions 339 to 821 of the family's 1533-position model. The record is from RNAcentral. Lineage: Bacteria; Pseudomonadati; Bacteroidota; Flavobacteriia; Flavobacteriales; Flavobacteriaceae.
CUACGGGAGGCAGCAGUGAGGAAUAUUGGACAAUGGGCGAGAGCCUGAUCCAGCCAUGCCGCGUGCAGGAAGACUGCCCUAUGGGUUGUAAACUGCUUUUAUACGGGGAGAUACACCCCCACGUGUGGGGGUUUGACGGUACCGUACGAAUAAGGAUCGGCUAACUCCGUGCCAGCAGCCGCGGUAAUACGGAGGAUCCAAGCGUUAUCCGGAAUCAUUGGGUUUAAAGGGUCCGUAGGCGGGAGAGUCAGUCAGUGGUGAAAGUCUGCAGCUUAACUGUAGAACUGCCAUUGAUACUGCUUUCCUUGAGUUAUUAUGAAGUGGUAGAAUAUGUAGUGUAGCGGUGAAUGCAUAGAUAUACAUAGAAUACCGAUUGCGAAGGCAGAUCACUAAUAAUUUACUGACGCUGAUGGACGAAGCGUAGGUAGCGAACAGGAUAGAUACCUGGUAGUCUACGCCGUAAACGAUGGUACUAGCU